UGCAGUCGAGCGGACAGAUGGGAGCUUGCUCCCUGAUGUUAGCGGCGGACGGGUGAGUAACACGUGGGUAACCUGCCUGUAAGACUGGGAUAACUCCGGGAAACCGGGGCUAAUACCGGAUGCUUGUUUGAACCGCAUGGUUCAAACAUAAAAGGUGGCUUCGGCUACCACUUACAGAUGGACCCGCGGCGCAUUAGCUAGUUGGUGAGGUAAUGGCUCACCAAGGCAACGAUGCGUAGCCGACCUGAGAGGGUGAUCGGCCACACUGGGACUGAGACACGGCCCAGACUCCUACGGGAGGCAGCAGUAGGGAAUCUUCCGCAAUGGACGAAAGUCUGACGGAGCAACGCCGCGUGAGUGAUGAAGGUUUUCGGAUCGUAAAGCUCUGUUGUUAGGGAAGAACAAGUACCGUUCGAAUAGGGCGGUACCUUGACGGUACCUAACCAGAAAGCCACGGCUAACUACGUGCCAGCAGCCGCGGUAAUACGUAGGUGGCAAGCGUUGUCCGGAAUUAUUGGGCGUAAAGGGCUCGCAGGCGGUUCCUUAAGUCUGAUGUGAAAGCCCCCGGCUCAACCGGGGAGGGUCAUUGGAAACUGGGGAACUUGAGUGCAGAAGAGGAGAGUGGAAUUCCACGUGUAGCGGUGAAAUGCGUAGAGAUGUGGAGGAACACCAGUGGCGAAGGCGACUCUCUGGUCUGUAACUGACGCUGAGGAGCGAAAGCGUGGGGAGCGAACAGGAUUAGAUACCCUGGUAGUCCACGCCGUAAACGAUGA
RNAcentral lists this ribosomal RNA (773 nucleotides) under Bacillus sp. 2-17. RNAcentral describes it as "bacterial SSU rRNA". It matches the Rfam family "Bacterial small subunit ribosomal RNA", at positions 56 to 812 of the family's 1533-position model. The record is from RNAcentral. Lineage: Bacteria; Bacillati; Bacillota; Bacilli; Caryophanales; Bacillaceae.